Paralichthys olivaceus (Japanese flounder) is the source of this 1972-nucleotide RNA transcript. It is a transcript of the gene named secernin 2, with no coding region annotated. The record is from RefSeq and is a predicted model, not a curated record. NCBI's taxonomy places the organism in Eukaryota, Metazoa, Chordata, Actinopteri, Pleuronectiformes, Paralichthyidae.
UAAUCAGCAUAGAGUGGUGUGGCCGUCCUGACAAACACAGACUCAUGAUGAGGAGCUACAUCAUGGCUCGGCUGUGCUGUGGCUUUCCUCACAGGUGUGGAGUGGACGCAGUGAGACGGUGAGCUGUGCUUGUGGCCAGACGAGACGAGACCUUUAAGUACAGACCUCUGGAUCUCUCCGUCACGUGACUCUAUCUCCAACCUGCCUGCUCCCCGCCGGCCGUCCGCUCCCACCACUGACAAUAAGAAGGAUGGCAGAGGCUCCCAUGUCAUGUGAUUGUUUUGUUUCCUUGCCCCCUGGUUCUCUCAAUGACCAUGUGAUUUUUGGGAAGAACUCGGACCGUCCCCGAGAUGAGGUGCAGGAGGUGGCCCACUACCCUGCAACAUCUCACCCUCCAGGCUCCAUGCUGGAGUGCACAUACAUCCAGAUCCCUCAGGUAGAGCAGACUCAUGCUGUCGUCCUUAGUAAACCUGCUUGGAUGUGGGGCGCAGAAAUGGGAGCCAAUGACCAGGGAGUCUGUAUUGGGAAUGAGGCGGUCUGGACCCGAGAGCCCGUCACCCCCGGAGAGGCCCUGCUGGGUAUGGACCUGGUCCGACUGGGGCUGGAGCGUGGUGACAGUGCCUGGGCUGCGCUGACCGUCAUCACAGGCCUCCUGGAGCAGCAUGGCCAGGGGGGACAGUGCAGGGAGGAUCCUGAGCCCUUCAGCUACCACAACACCUUCCUUCUGGUCGACCGCAACGAGGCCUGGGUCUUAGAAACUGCUGGGAAGCUGUGGGUGGCACAGAAGGUCAGAGAGGGUGUGAAGAACAUCUCUAACCAGCUGACCAUUGGCGAUGAGAUCUCUGCAGAGCAUCCAGAGCUGCGGAGCAUGGCGCAAGCUCAGGGCUGGUGGGACGGCGAGAGGGAGUUCAACUUCUCUCAGGUGUUCAACCCUGAGAACCCACCUGCUCGGAUGGAACUGGCCAAACAGCGUUAUAAGGGAGGCACAGAGCUGCUCCAGCAGCAUGAUGGCUCAGUGACAGCAGAGGUGAUGAUAUCCAUUCUGAGGGACAAGCCCAGUGGCAUCUGCAUGGACUCUGGAGGUUUCUGCACCACAGGCAGCAUGGUGUCUGUUCUGCCCAGAGACUCCAGCCUACCCUGCAUCCACUUCUUCACUGCCACCCCCGACCCCUCCAGUCUUGCGUUUCUCUCUUUCCUGUUCCUUUCCCUGUUAACCGACCCCGCCUGCACCCUACUAGGUCUAUAUUCAAGCCUUUUAUCUUCUCGGACUGUUCUGCUCCAGUGCCGAGGGUGGUCUCCCCACAGUUCGGCCCAGACGACCCUGCCAGGAAGCAGCCUCGCUUUCAGAGCCAGGUAGACCGCAGACAUGAUCUGUACAAGGCUCACCAGGUGGCGCUCAACAACAUGGAGACCAAUCCGGAUGAGGGCUCAGCUGUGUAUGAGAUUCUGAGGGACCUGGAGUCACAGUGUCUCAGUGAGAUUUCAGCCAUGCUCAGUGGAGAGAUACCAGCAGAAGAACUGGGGGACUUAUUUUUUGAUUGCGUGGACACAGAGAUUAAGUUCUACCAGUGAGGAGUGCCCUCAGGUGGAGAUCUCUCACACUUGCUGAGUGGCAGGAGAAGGCCCUGGGACUGUCAAAAACCCUUGUGUUCCUUGUCUUUGAUUGGCCUCCACCUCACUCUCACGUCACACAUGCCUGACACCAUUCCAUCAUUAACACAAACUAAAUGUCUCAGCCGCACAUUUCAUUGGAGCAUAUUUAUCAGCUGUAUCACCCAGAGAGCAAUGACUGCACCUCAUUAGUGAGUAUAAUGAUGUAGAUUUCACAGGCGCAUAUGUAGAGCUGUGUGACAUUGUACACAUACUGUAAGUAUGGAGUUUGUUUAACAUUCUGUUUGUCGCUGCAGAUGAUGGGGCUGUCAUUUGUUUGAUGGCUUCCUGUCUAGAAAGAUCUAAUAAAAGAAUGUGCAUA